AUGAACGCUGGCGGCGUGCCUAAUACAUGCAAGUCGAGCGAACAGAUGAGGAGCUUGCUCCUCUGACGUUAGCGGCGGACGGGUGAGUAACCCGUGGAUAACCUACCUAUAAGACUGGGAUAACUUCGGGAAACCGGAGCUAAUACCGGAUAAUAUAUUGAACCGCAUGGUUCAAUAGUGAAAGACGGUUUUGCUGUCACUUAUAGAUGGAUCCGCGCCGCAUUAGCUAGUUGGUAAGGUAACGGCUUACCAAGGCAACGAUGCGUAGCCGACCUGAGAGGGUGAUCGGCCACACUGGAACUGAGACACGGUCCAGACUCCUACGGGAGGCAGCAGUAGGGAAUCGUCCGCAAUGGGCGAAAGCCUGACGGAGCAACGCCGCGUGAGUGAUGAAGGUCUUCGGAUCGUAAAACUCUGUUAUUAGGGAAGAACAAAUGUGUAAGUAACUAUGCACGUCUUGACGGUACCUAAUCAGAAAGCCACGGCUAACUACGUG
RNAcentral lists this ribosomal RNA (496 nucleotides) under uncultured bacterium. RNAcentral describes it as "partial 16S ribosomal RNA". It matches the Rfam family "Bacterial small subunit ribosomal RNA", at positions 29 to 507 of the family's 1533-position model. The record is from RNAcentral.